This 504-nucleotide ribosomal RNA is filed under the name uncultured Gammaproteobacteria bacterium. Its description in RNAcentral is "bacterial SSU rRNA". It matches the Rfam family "Bacterial small subunit ribosomal RNA", at positions 1 to 526 of the family's 1533-position model. The record is from RNAcentral. Lineage: Bacteria; Pseudomonadati; Pseudomonadota; Gammaproteobacteria.
AUUAGAGUUUGAUCCUGGCUCAGAUUGAACGCUGGCGGCAUGCUUUACACAUGCAAGUCGAACGGCAGCGGGGGCUUCGGCCUGCCGGCGAGUGGCGAACGGGUGAGUAAUGCAUCGGAACGUGCCCAUGUCGUGGGGGAUAACGUAGCGAAAGCUACGCUAAUACCGCAUACGCCCUGAGGGGGAAAGCGGGGGAUUCUUCGGACCUCGCACUGUGGGAUGAGCCUACGUCCGAUUAGCUAGUUGGUGGGGUAAAGGCCUACCAAGGCGAUGAUCGGUAGCUGGUCUGAGAGGACGACCAGCCACACUGGGACUGAGACACGGCCCAGACUCCUACGGGAGGCAGCAGUGGGGAAUAUUGGACAAUGGGCGCAAGCCUGAUCCAGCAAUACCGCGUGUGUGAAGAAGGCCUGCGGGUUGUAAAGCACUUUCAGUUGGGAAGAUAAUGACGUUACCAACAGAAGAAGCACCGGCUAACUCCGUGCCAGCAGCCGCGGUAAUAAU